This is an RNA transcript of Amphimedon queenslandica, 733 nucleotides long. RefSeq lists it as uncharacterized. NCBI's taxonomy places the organism in Eukaryota, Metazoa, Porifera, Demospongiae, Haplosclerida, Niphatidae. The record is from RefSeq and is a predicted model, not a curated record. The transcript is spliced from 9 exons.
UGUCUGGGCGGAGUCCACACACCCAUAACAAUGGAGGAAUACGAUAAUUUUGGUAAUCAUAAUCUGGAUGUCUCUUGUCUGGGCGGAGUCCACACACCCAUAACAAUGGAGGAAUACGAUAAUUUUGGUAAUCAUAAUCUGGAUGUCUCGUGUCUGGGCGGAGUCCACACACCCAUAACAAUGGAGAAAUACGAUAAUUUUGGUAAUCAUAAUCUGGAUGUCUCUUGUCUGGGCGGAGUCCACACACCCAUAACAAUGGAGGAAUACGAUAAUUUUGGUAAUCAUAAUCUGGAUGUCUCGUGUCUGGGCGGAGUCCACACACCCAUAACAAUGGAGGAAUACGAUAAUUUUGGUAAUCAUAAUCUGAAUGUCUUUUGUCUGGGCGGAGUCCACACACCCAUAACAAUGGAGGAAUACGAUAAUUUUGGUAAUCAUAAUCUGGAUGUCUCGUGUCUGGGCGGAGUCCACACACCCAUAACAAUGGAGGAAUACGAUAAUUUUGGUACGUUUUCUCAUUGUUAUGAUCAACUAAAGGUAAUCAUAAUCUGGAUGUCUCGUGUCUGGGCGGAGUCCACACACCCAUAACAAUGGAGAAAUACGAUAAUUUUGGUACGUUUUCUCAUUGUUAUGAUCAACUAAAGGUAAUCAUAAUCUGGAUGUCUCUUGUCUGGGCGGAGUCCACACACCCAUAACAAUGGAGGAAUACGAUAAUUUUGGUACGUUUUCUCAUUGU